GAUGAACGCUGGCGGCGUGCUUAACACAUGCAAGUCGAACGGGAUCCCAGGAGCUUGCUCCUGGGUGAGAGUGGCGAACGGGUGAGUAAUGCGUGACCGACCUGCCCCAUACACCGGAAUAGCUCCUGGAAACGGGUGGUAAUGCCGGAUGCUCCAGUUGGAUGCAUGUCCUUCUGGGAAAGAUUCAUCGGUAUGGGAUGGGGUCGCGUCCUAUCAGCUUGAUGGCGGGGUAACGGCCCACCAUGGCUUCGACGGGUAGCCGGCCUGAGAGGGCGACCGGCCACAUUGGGACUGAGAUACGGCCCAGACUCCUACGGGAGGCAGCAGUGGGGAAUAUUGCACAAUGGGCGCAAGCCUGAUGCAGCGACGCCGCGUGCGGGAUGACGGCCUUCGGGUUGUAAACCGCUUUUGACUGGGAGCAAGCCCUUCGGGGUGAGUGUACCUUUCGAAUAAGC
This 455-nucleotide ribosomal RNA is filed under the name uncultured bacterium. RNAcentral describes it as "bacterial SSU rRNA". It matches the Rfam family "Bacterial small subunit ribosomal RNA", at positions 28 to 491 of the family's 1533-position model. The record is from RNAcentral.